Molecule: long non-coding RNA, 890 nt
Organism: Xenopus tropicalis (tropical clawed frog)
Lineage: Eukaryota; Metazoa; Chordata; Amphibia; Anura; Pipidae
Exons: 3
Source: RefSeq, a predicted model, not a curated record
CUGGGAUUGGGCUCUGACACGACCUCCCAUAUGUAACACAGACGAUGAUAACGAGAUUCAGCGCCGCGGAUUUCGCCUUUGGGAAAGAUAAGGAUUGUGUAUAUGGCCCUGCCAGCUGUAUACAGGGAUAUCUACAUUCCAGCCACCUGUACAGCUUUCAUCACUGCCCACAGGUUCCAGCCUGAGACACCUGAGCAGUGAUUGGACUUCAAAUCCCAGAAUUCCCGGAUGUCCGAAAUGACGAUUCCAGAGCAAGUUAAGAAUCCCGGGUAGAAGGGAAGAACCAUUCCUGGGAGAGAGGAACGGGAUCUUCCAUUCUCUGCCCCCCAGCAGGGGGGUAACCGAGGGUAAUGUUACAGUGCUGAGUGAGACAUCUCUUCCAGGUAUGAAAUAGCUACAAACAGAGAGUGGGCUGUUUCUGUAAAGUAGGUUUUGUUUAUCCAGAGGUCACAGGACCCUUACAGAACAGGAGGUACACACAGGGGCUCCCAGGCAUUGCCCACACCAGACAUAAAUAUGGCCGACGAGCCUUCCUUGCACAAUAGCCAAUCAUUUCCUCAGUGGAGAUCGAUAGACAAUGAAUUAGGCAACUAAAGGGAAAGUUAAACCAUAAUCACCAAGAACCCCAGUUAAGAGAGUUUGUACAGAGACGUGUUCUCUAUCAUCUCCUCCAUGUUUGACUGUAGGACUGUAGGAAGGGUCUUUCCCCAAUAAGGGCCCCCACUGAUAUAUAAUACAGUAACCGGAGCCACGUCCCCAGCCAUUUGCAACAGAACCAUUUGUACAGAGAUUCCAUUUGUAUUUGGAAAUAUCAUUUUGCAAGUUGCCCCAGGGACUGGUCCGAUUGCCAUCUUGGAGUCAGGAAGGAAUUUUUUCCCCUCUGGGGCAAA